CAGCCGCCACGGUAAUACGGAGGGAGCUAGCGUUGUUCGGAAUUACUGGGCGUAAAGCGCACGUAGGCGGCUUUGUAAGUUAGAGGUGAAAGCCUGGAGCUCAACUCCAGAAUUGCCUUUAAGACUGCAUCGCUUGAAUCCAGGAGAGGUGAGUGGAAUUCCGAGUGUAGAGGUGAAAUUCGUAGAUAUUCGGAAGAACACCAGUGGCGAAGGCGGCUCACUGGACUGGUAUUGACGCUGAGGUGCGAGAGCGUGGGGAGCGAACAGGAUUAGAUACCCGAGUAGUCCCUGUCUCUUAUAC
RNAcentral lists this ribosomal RNA (301 nucleotides) under uncultured bacterium. RNAcentral's name for it is "partial 16S ribosomal RNA". It matches the Rfam family "Bacterial small subunit ribosomal RNA", at positions 509 to 807 of the family's 1533-position model. The record is from RNAcentral.